RNAcentral lists this ribosomal RNA (301 nucleotides) under uncultured bacterium. RNAcentral's name for it is "partial 16S ribosomal RNA". It matches the Rfam family "Bacterial small subunit ribosomal RNA", at positions 509 to 809 of the family's 1533-position model. The record is from RNAcentral.
CAGCAGCCGCGGGAACACGUAGGUGGCAAGCGUUGUCCGGAAUUAUUGGGCGUAAAGGGCUCGCAGGCGGUUUCUUAAGUCUGAUGUGAAAGUCCCCGGCUCAACCGGGGAGGGUCAUUGGAAACUGGGAAACUUGAGUGCAGAAGAGGAGAGUGGAAUUCCACGUGUAGCGGUGAAAUGCGUAGAUAUAUGGAGGAACACCGGUGGCGAAAGCGGCUCUCUGGUCUGUAACUGACGCUGAGGCUCGAAAGCGUGGGGAGCGAACAGGAUUAGAUACCCCCGUAGUCCCUGUCUCUUAUAA